GUUGACAGUUUAACCCUGAGUCAUCCUAAACACAGGGGUCAAAAAGAUGAAUUAUACAGUAACCAUAUUCAUGUAGAUUCUGAGUGUUGCGAUUGCGACUCUUCGACCUAUCCGGACAUCGGGUACCAUUUCUAGAUGGUCACUUCGAUUAGUACAGGAAUUGGUUCCUGUGCUACCGGCUUAGGUUCGAACCUGUGGGGUCACACACAUUAAAAGUUUCUAUCUGAUCUGAUGGCUGAUAUAGAAUCCUAUAUGUUUGAGACUCAGUGAUCGAAAAUCAGGAUUCUCUGAUCAUGAGUUCCACACAUUAUGGGUACCGGGGUCAAGAGUC
RNAcentral lists this long non-coding RNA (331 nucleotides) under Elaeis guineensis (African oil palm). Its description in RNAcentral is "long non-coding RNA (EGUI_LNC074182)". The record is from RNAcentral. Lineage: Eukaryota; Viridiplantae; Streptophyta; Magnoliopsida; Arecales; Arecaceae.